CUUGAUGCCACCCAGCAGCAGCGGCACAGCCCGGUCCUGCCCAUAGGUCGCCAUCAGCGCCUGAGCCUC
RNAcentral lists this non-coding RNA (69 nucleotides) under Lentzea aerocolonigenes. The record is from RNAcentral. Lineage: Bacteria; Bacillati; Actinomycetota; Actinomycetes; Pseudonocardiales; Pseudonocardiaceae.